RNAcentral lists this ribosomal RNA (497 nucleotides) under uncultured bacterium. Its description in RNAcentral is "partial 16S ribosomal RNA". It matches the Rfam family "Bacterial small subunit ribosomal RNA", at positions 28 to 507 of the family's 1533-position model. The record is from RNAcentral.
GAUGAACGCUGGCGGCGUGCCUAAUACAUGCAAGUCGAGCGAACGGACGAGAAGCUUGCUUCUCUGAUGUUAGCGGCGGACGGGUGAGUAACACGUGGAUAACCUACCUAUAAGACUGGGAUAACUUCGGGAAACCGUAGCUAAUAACGGAUAAUAUUUUGAACCGCAUGGUUCAAAAGUGAAAGACGGUCUUGCUGUCACUUAUAGAUGGAUCCGCGCUGCAUUAGCUAGUUGGUAAGGUAACGGCUUACCAAGGCAACGAAGCAUAGCCGACCUGAGAGGGUGAAUCGGCACACUGGAACUGAGACACGGUCCAGACUCCUACGGGAGGCAGCAGUAGGGAAUCUUCUGCAAUGGGCGAAAGCCUGACGGAGGAACGCCGGGUGAGUUAUGAAGGUCUUCGGAUCGUAAAACUCUGUUAGUAGGGAAGAACAUAUGUGUAAGUAACUGUGCACAGCUUGACGGUAACUAAUCAGAAAGCCACGGCCAACUACGUG